AACGCACAUGGGUUGGCGGCGAAUGGGAAGUCGCGGCGGGGCGAGGGCGAGUGCGGGGGCGGGGCCCGGACCGAAGGGCUUCCGCCUCCCGUCGCUCCUCCCCACCGUGAGGCGAACCUCAGCCGGUUUCCCAGCCCCGCCGAGGCCCGCUGGGGCGAAGCGGAGCCCCGGGGGGCCCUGAGGAAACCGGCGCGGGUUCGUUUAAUUACGCCCUUCUCGCCAGACCUCUGGCUGGCCCUGAGCUGCUCAGAAGCCCAUCUGCGCGGCAUGCCCGUGCGAUCUGAGACAACUGGCAGCUGUCUUCCUUUGCAAAACGAGACUGUUAAUAAAACCUACCCCAGGGUAGGACGGACUGUUCGCAGAUGAAUGGAUAAGCAACCUGGAGCAUAUCCAUACAAUGGAAUACUACUGAGCAAGAUGAAAGAACAAACUGCUGAUACACACAGCAACACAUCUGACUCUCAAGUGAAGAAAGCCCCUUUCAAGAGGCUGCAUAUAAUAGACUCCAUUCAUAUGACAUCCAGAAAAGGCAAAACUAUAGGUCGGGCACAGUGGCUCACGCCUGUAAUCCCAGCACUUUGGGAGGCCGAGGUGGGCAGAUCACGAGGCCAGGAGUUCAAGACCAGCCUGGCCAACAUGGUGAAAACCCAUCUCUAUGAAAAAUACAAAAAUUAGCUGGGCGUGGUGGUGGGCACCUAUAAUCCCAGCUACUCGGGAGGCUGAGGCAGGAGAAUCAAUUGAACCAGGGAGGCAGGGGUUGCAAUGAGCUGAGAUGACACCAUUGCACUCCAGCCUGGGCAACAGGGCAAGGAUCCAUCUCAAAAAAAAAAAAAGGCAAAACUGUAGAGAGAAAAAAUGAUCAGUUCUUGCCAGGGGGCUCAAGAUGGGAUGAGGUAUUUACUACGAAAGCGCAUGAGAGAAUUUUGAGGGGAGAGAAAGGUGAUAGAUUUGUUCUAUGUUUUGAUUAUAGUGGUGAUUAAAUAACUCUGUAUUUGCCAUAAUGCAUAGAACAGUAUUGUAUUAGUCCAUUCUCACACUGCUAUAAAGAAAUACUUGCGACUGGGUAAUUUAUAAAGAAAAGAGGUUUAAGGCCAGGUGCGGUGGCUCAAGCCUGUAAUCCCAGCACUUUGGGAGGCCGAGGCGGGUGGAUCACGAGGUCAGGAGAUCGAGACCAUCUUGGCUAACACGGUGAAACCC
RNAcentral lists this long non-coding RNA (1197 nucleotides) under Homo sapiens (human). RNAcentral describes it as "HSALNT0310012". The record is from RNAcentral. Lineage: Eukaryota; Metazoa; Chordata; Mammalia; Primates; Hominidae.